This 437-nucleotide ribosomal RNA is filed under the name uncultured bacterium. RNAcentral's name for it is "bacterial SSU rRNA". It matches the Rfam family "Bacterial small subunit ribosomal RNA", at positions 338 to 774 of the family's 1533-position model. The record is from RNAcentral.
CCUACGGGAGGCAGCAGUAGGGAAUUUUCGGCAAUGGGGGCAACCCUGACCGAGCAACGCCGCGUGAACGACGAAGUACUUCGGUAUGUAAAGUUCUUUUAUCAGGGAAGAAUGGCUUACGGAAAAGUGAGCGUGACGGUACCUGAUGAAUAAGCCCCGGCUAACUAUGUGCCAGCAGCCGCGGUAAUACAUAGGGGGCAAGCGUUAUCCGGAAUUAUUGGGCGUAAAGGGUGCGUAGGUGGCCGUUUAAGUCUUUGGUGUAAGUGCAAGGCUCAACCUUGUGAUGCUAAAGAAACUGGAUGGCUUGAGUGUGGUAGAGGCAAGUGGAAUUCCAUGUGUAGCGGUAAAAUGCGUAAAUAUAUGGAGGAACACCGGUGGCGAAGGCGGCUUGCUGGGCCACAACUGACACUGAGGCACGAAAGCGUGGGGAGCAAACA